RNAcentral lists this transfer RNA (71 nucleotides) under Loxodonta africana (African savanna elephant). It matches the Rfam family "tRNA". From Rfam's summary of the family: Transfer RNA (tRNA) molecules are approximately 80 nucleotides in length. Their secondary structure includes four short double-helical elements and three loops (D, anti-codon, and T loops). Lineage: Eukaryota; Metazoa; Chordata; Mammalia; Proboscidea; Elephantidae. The record is from Rfam by way of RNAcentral.
GCAUCAGUGGUUCAAAUGCAGAAUUCUCGCCUUCCAUAUGGGAGACCUGGGUUCAUUUCUCAGCCAAUGCA